AGCAUGGAGGGCAGGAUGGGAGGGAGAGUAGGGUUUAUCUGCAAACCAGAAAGAAAGUGGGCAGGCUCCAAACUUCCUGCCUAUGAGGGCUCCGGGGACACUGGGCUGCCCUGACAGGGAAGCUGGGGGAGAAGGGAUCCUCUUCUUGCAGAAAUGGGGUAGAGCUAUGUCUCGGGCAGCUGGGGAAGGCCUGCUGGAAGCGGCGGAAGGGACUGGAUGACCUGCGGAGUGCCAUUCGGCCUGGAGGACUCAGUGCUGUGUGUGACUCCAAGAACAAGCCGGGGCCAGGCUCCCUGCCCAUAACUUUUCCUCACUUUGAACUGGGUCUUAUUUUAACCUCAGAUGACAAGGAUCCUAAUAAUGGCAACCUCUUUGGCGAGGGGUGAGGGGGUACAAAAUAGGGCAUGAAGGAAGUAGAGAGGCUUGGACUGCAGAUGAUGAUUCCUCUCCAGCUACGUCCAGGAAACUCACCCAAGUCCUCAUCUGAUACUCUCACUUCCUUCUUGGUCAUCCUCAUCUCGCAUACACACUGGUAGCUGGAUGCAGUAGAAUGGGCACCAUGACCUCCAGAGUUUGCCCCCUCUGGCCCCCCUACAGUAAGAGAAGAGUGAUAAUCCUAUGAACUCAAGCAGCCAAGCUGUAACAGCUCCUUGCUGUACAAUGCCUUCUUGCCUCCUGUCCUUUGAGAGUAUUUAAAGCAGAGGUUCCCCCCAAGUAACUAUAAAUGUUGUCUGCCUGGAGCCUUCAGAUUCCUGAACGAUUGGAAUGUUCCUAAAUCUGAAACCAGAGAGAGCCAUAUCAGAGUGCAAAUAUUUUCGGCAUACGUGAACCAUCAAGUUACAGAAUGACCUGACACCCUCCGCUACUCUCAGGGGCCCCCUGCCUGGAAGACAACCCCCCAUCUGCUGCAAAUGCCUUCGUCUUCGACAUACCUCUCUAUUUGCAGAUGCAACCAUCUAUAGAUAGAUCUGAGCGGAGUGACUGUGAGCUGGACAUGGAGGUUGGCCACCCAGCAGAGGCAUCCUACAGGCUACCUCUCUGUCUGGCACACAUCAGGGAGGACAUGUGCUGGAUGAGGAGGAAAAGGCCCCACAAAGAACGGAAGGAGGGAGUGAUUACACCCAAAACAGAUCCUGAAUCUAGUCCGUCAUGCCAAGAGCCAGCACAGAACCAUGUUUGUAUACCUCAUUGAACUACUGAAAUUCCAGCACUCAGACAGCUGUGUCCUCAUGUGGUUUUCCCCCUUCUAUAAAUCAAUAAGUACCUCAGACUGGGUCCCAGUGCAGAGCUGUCCUCAAGUUUGGGUCAAGUGAGUAGAAAAACCCAGAAUUUGUUCAGUCAUGUGCUUGUAAAAUGUGAUGCUUCUAUUUUUUAAUAUGUAUGUGCUAUGCACAAACCAUAUCAUGUUCCAACAAAAAGUAAAAGGUCUUUUUAUACGUUCCUCUAAACUGUCAGACUCCACCCCUCCUAUUAAAACUCACAACGAAU
This is a long non-coding RNA of Lontra canadensis (Northern American river otter), 1488 nucleotides long. RefSeq lists it as uncharacterized. The transcript is spliced from 2 exons. NCBI's taxonomy places the organism in Eukaryota, Metazoa, Chordata, Mammalia, Carnivora, Mustelidae. The record is from RefSeq and is a predicted model, not a curated record.